UUCUUACAUUUUGUUAGGAUUAAUAAUAUUAAAAUAUUGGUUUGCAGUAGCAAUCUAGCAAUCAAUAAACAAAUUCAUUCAUCUAAGGCUUAAAUGAUUCUUUACAACAGCCUAUCAAGGAGACCUGUAUAAAUAGUUUGUUAUUUUUAGCACAAUUUUUAUCCUGGUAAUCGAAAACUCACAAACGAGCAGAAUUCUACGCCAUUUCUCAUCACUAUCAGACUUGUUUUUAAUAAACUUGGAGCGAAAUUUGUGCAUGGUGGCUAAUCCAAAAAUAAAUCGAGAGAAGCACCACAGCAGAUUUUUGUUGCUAUAGGAAUCCUAUUUCACCAGUAUGACCACUCUGAGACCUUUUACUUGCGAUGACUUAUUUAAAUUCAAUAAUGUGAACUUUGACCCCUUAACAGAAACAUAUGGUCUUUCGUUUUAUACACAGUAUCUUGCUCGUUGGCCAGAAUUUUUUCAAUUAGCGGAAUCGCCCAGUGGCCAGAUAAUGGGAUACAUAAUGGGAAAAGUUGAAGGACAUAUGGAGAAUUGGCAUGGCCAUGUAACAGCUUUAACCGUGUCACCUGACUACCGCCGUUUGGGCUUAGCAGCUCUGUUAAUGAACUUCUUGGAAGACAUAUCUGAAAAGAAGCGAGCUUAUUUUGUUGACUUAUUUGUUCGCAAAAGUAACAAAAUUGCCAUAAACAUGUAUACCAAUUUAGGAUAUAUAAUAUUUCGAACAAUAUUGGACUACUAUUCUGGAGAUCAAGACGAAGAUGCCUAUGAUAUGCGAAAAGCACUCACAAGGGACACGGAGAAGAAAUCUAUAAUACCAUACACACAACCAGUACGACUGGAAGCAUUAGAAAUGCAUUGAUAUUAGUUGUUUCAUGUUUGAGUUAAUUUUUGAAUAAUUGAUAAUUCGACAAUUAGUUUUCAAUUUGUAACUAAUGUCGUCGCCUGAAUUUCAAAGAAACAAAAAAGUUAUUAACUGGAUUCACUUCUUUAGUUAUGUUACAUUGAAGAUAAACCAUUUACUAACUUUUAUUUGUUUUAAUCUAGUAAUAUCCACAAAAAAUUGCUAAAAAAUUUAAUUUUAUCAACACCCUUUUCGUCAUGCCUAGUUUAAAUUUAAUUGAAAUAUUAAUCCUGCAAAUGUGAAUAACAACUUGUUUUCUAUGUGAGUUCGAAAAGGUAUCGAAAAGGGAGUUACGACAUUAUAUGGAGAAUACAAACUAUUGUUGACAAGAUAGUCGAAGGAAAAGAGCAAAUCAAUUCUUCAAGUUAGCUAAUUGGAUGCAUUAGCAUUUUAUGAAAAUAUACCAAUAAAUCUUUGAUUUGCCUGCAUUAGAUUAACAACAAAUAAAAUUUUUUUGAUUUAAAAUCGAAA
RNA transcript from Stomoxys calcitrans (stable fly), 1375 nucleotides. It is a transcript of the gene named N-alpha-acetyltransferase 20, with no coding region annotated. The transcript has 6 exons. Lineage: Eukaryota; Metazoa; Arthropoda; Insecta; Diptera; Muscidae. The record is from RefSeq and is a predicted model, not a curated record.